This 71-nucleotide transfer RNA is filed under the name Loxodonta africana (African savanna elephant). It matches the Rfam family "tRNA". Rfam says of the family: Transfer RNA (tRNA) molecules are approximately 80 nucleotides in length. Their secondary structure includes four short double-helical elements and three loops (D, anti-codon, and T loops). Further hydrogen bonds mediate the characteristic L-shaped molecular structure. tRNAs have two regions of fundamental functional importance: the anti-codon, which is responsible for specific mRNA codon recognition, and the 3' end, to which the tRNAs corresponding amino acid is attached (by aminoacyl-tRNA synthetases). tRNAs cope with the degeneracy of the genetic code in two manners: having more than one tRNA (with a specific anti-codon) for a particular amino acid; and 'wobble' base-pairing, i.e. permitting non-standard base-pairing at the 3rd anti-codon position. Lineage: Eukaryota; Metazoa; Chordata; Mammalia; Proboscidea; Elephantidae. The record is from Rfam by way of RNAcentral.
GCAAUGGUGGUUCAGUGGUAGAAUUCUCACAUUCCAUGCAGGAGACCUGGGUUUGAUUCCAAGCCAAUGCA